This is a non-coding RNA of Pteropus alecto (black flying fox), 73 nucleotides long. Lineage: Eukaryota; Metazoa; Chordata; Mammalia; Chiroptera; Pteropodidae. The record is from Rfam.
GGUUCCAUAGUGUAGUGGUUAGCAUGUCUGCUUUACACGCAGAAGGUCCUGGGUUCGCACCCCAGUGGAGUCA